AACGAACGCUGGCGGCAUGCCUAACACAUGCAAGUCGAACGAGACCUUCGGGUCUUGUGGCGCAAGGGUGCGUACAGUGUGGGAAAUUGCCCUUAGGUUCGGAAUAACUCCCCGACAGGGGUGCUAAUCCCGGAUAAUGUCUUCGGACCCAACAUUUAUCGCCCUUGUAUGGGCCGGCGUUGGAUUAGCUAGUUGGUAAGGUAAAAGCCUACCAAGGCGACGAUCGAUAGCUGGUCUGAGAGAAUGAUCAGCCACACUGAUACUGAGACACGGCAGAGAAUCCUGCGGGAAGCAGCAGUGUCUGAUACAGAAGAAUGGGCAGAUGGAAAAGGCAAUAAGGCAUCGUGAGUGAGGAAGUUGUUAGAGUAGAAAAGCUCUUUUACCCGGUAAGAUAAUGACGGUACCGGAAGAAUAAGCGCCGGCUAACUCCGUG
This 433-nucleotide ribosomal RNA is filed under the name uncultured bacterium. Its description in RNAcentral is "partial 16S ribosomal RNA". It matches the Rfam family "Bacterial small subunit ribosomal RNA", at positions 29 to 507 of the family's 1533-position model. The record is from RNAcentral.